UGGAACUUAGCUCAGCCUGGCAGAGCACCUGGCUUAUAUCCAGUUUGUCGUGGGUUCAAAUCCUACAGUUCCAA
Molecule: transfer RNA, 74 nt
Filed under: Caudoviricetes sp.
Lineage: Duplodnaviria; Heunggongvirae; Uroviricota; Caudoviricetes
Description: tRNA-Ile
Rfam family: tRNA
About the family: Transfer RNA (tRNA) molecules are approximately 80 nucleotides in length. Their secondary structure includes four short double-helical elements and three loops (D, anti-codon, and T loops).
Source: RNAcentral